RNAcentral lists this ribosomal RNA (462 nucleotides) under uncultured Methanomicrobiales archaeon. RNAcentral describes it as "bacterial SSU rRNA". It matches the Rfam family "Archaeal small subunit ribosomal RNA", at positions 877 to 1338 of the family's 1478-position model. Lineage: Archaea; Methanobacteriati; Methanobacteriota; Methanomicrobia; Methanomicrobiales. The record is from RNAcentral.
CACCACAACAGGUGGAGCCUGCGGUUUAAUCGGACUCAACGCCGGGAAACUCACCAGAUAAGACAGCUGAAUGAUAGUCGGGCUGAAGACUCUACUUGACUAGCUGAGAGGAGGUGCAUGGCCGUCGUCAGUUCGUACUGUGAAGCAUCCUGUCAAGUCAGGCAACGAGCGAGACCCACGCCAACAGUUGCCAGCUCGUCCUCCGGGAUGGUGGGGACACUGUUGGGACCGCCUCUGCUAAAGAGGAGGAAGGAAUGGGCAACGGUAGGUCAGCAUGCCCCGAAUUAUCUGGGCUACACGCGGGCUACAAUGGGUGGGACAAUGGGUAUCGACACCGAAAGGUGAAGGCAAUCUCCUAAACCCAUCCGUAGUUCGGAUUGUGGGCUGCAACUCGCCCACAUGAGGCUGGAAUCUGUAGUAAUCGUGUCUCAAAAUGGCACGGUGAAUAUGUCCCUGCUCCUU